UGUGAUGUUGUUUUUUCAUUCAAGUCAAAAAAAAAAAACUUUGUUCAGAAUUGCUGCUUGCCGAAAUGCGAAAACAGUGCCUUAUCAAAUGUAUUGAAAUAUUAUCCAUUAGGAUAAUAUUUCAAUGCAUUUGAUUCCUUCUGAUAAAAGACUUCGACAAGAAUGGGUCUCAAAAAUCCGCCGUGAUGAUACCAGAUGCACAUCAAUAUCGAAGCAUAUGCGUGUUUGUUCUGUUCAUUUCAAGCCAUAUGUUUACUCACAAAGGAAACAAGAAAAGGAAAUUAAUCAAGAGAGCAAUUCCUUCCAUUUUUACUUCUGCACCUCCGCAGAAAAAAAAGGAAACUUCCAUGCCCAAAUAUUAUGAAUGAUGAGGUUAUGCCUUGAAUAAUCUUUUUGUUUCUCGAGGUCCACUACCUGGAAGCUACGAAAUCUUGGUGAUUAUUCCGCUGAAGAUGAUAUUUUAUCUUGACAAAGUAUAAAUAUUGUGUGACUCUUGCGUCGCGUGAAGUAACCACAUUAUCUGUUAUCUAAUUAGUUAAUGAAAAUAAAUUAAUGUUAAGUGUA
Molecule: long non-coding RNA, 564 nt
Organism: Parasteatoda tepidariorum (common house spider)
Lineage: Eukaryota; Metazoa; Arthropoda; Arachnida; Araneae; Theridiidae
Source: RefSeq, a predicted model, not a curated record